AAGAACUUGGAUUUUGGGAAGAUGUAGCAGCUACUUCUAAAGCUUAUUUGAAAAAUGCCUUCUCACCAACAUGAGCACAGAGAUAAAAGAUUUGCUUAUCAGGGAGAAAUUUAGCUGAACAAAAAUAGAAUAUUGGAUGACUGUACCAGCUCCAUGAUACUUUCUGAAAUGGAAUCACCCCUAAAAAGGGAGAGGAACCGCA
RNAcentral lists this long non-coding RNA (202 nucleotides) under Phasianus colchicus (ring-necked pheasant). RNAcentral describes it as "lncRNA (ENSPCLG00000001895.1)". The record is from RNAcentral. Lineage: Eukaryota; Metazoa; Chordata; Aves; Galliformes; Phasianidae.